Molecule: ribosomal RNA, 428 nt
Filed under: bacterium
Lineage: Bacteria
Description: partial 16S ribosomal RNA
Rfam family: Bacterial small subunit ribosomal RNA
Source: RNAcentral
UAGGGAAUCUUCGGCAAUGGGGGCAACCCUGACCGAGCAACGCCGCGUGAGUGAAGAAGGUUUUCGGAUCGUAAAGCUCUGUUGUAAGAGAAGAACGUGUGUGAGAGUGGAAAGUUCACACAGUGACGGUAACUUACCAGAAAGGGACGGCUAACUACGUGCCAGCAGCCGCGGUAAUACGUAGGUCCCGAGCGUUGUCCGGAUUUAUGGGCGUAAAGCGAGCGCAGGCGGUUUAAUAAGUCUGAAGUUAAAGGCAGUGGCUUAACCAUUGUUCGCUUUGGCAAAUGUUAUACUUGAGUGCAGAAGGGGAGAGUGGAAUUCCAUGUGUAGCGGUGAAAUGCGUAGAUAUAUGGAGGAACACCGGUGGCGAAAGCGGCUCUCUGGACUGUAACUGACGCUGAGGCUCGAAAGCGUGGGGAGCAAACAGG